GGGACUGAAAGGAUUUCUACAUACUUUUAAUAAUAUUAGUUAAUAUUUAACUGUUGUAAUUUGUGACUUAAAAUAUUUUUUUAAGUUUAAUAAUACCAUUUUAAUUGCAAAACAUAAUAUUAUAUCUUUUUCUAGAAGUUUAGCAAUAGCAUAGACAUUUAGUAUUUUAAGUUGUGCUUUUUUAUUUCAAUUUAACAAUUUAGUAUAAUAAUGCACUAAUUAUAAAAUUAAAUUUAUAUUUUUUUGAUUUUAGUUAGUAAAGUAAUAAUUUAUUGAUUUAAAAUUUCAGUUGAAUAUUUAGUAAUUAAUUGUUCUAUUAGUAUGGACGUGGGUUCAAAUCCCACCAGUUCCA
This 352-nucleotide non-coding RNA is filed under the name Herposiphonia versicolor. The record is from RNAcentral. Lineage: Eukaryota; Rhodophyta; Florideophyceae; Ceramiales; Rhodomelaceae.